CCAAAAUACUAAAACCUCUCCAUCUAAUGGCGUACCCAAUUUCGAAAUCUUUUUGCUUCAUUUCCAUUUUGGUUUUUGUUGUUGCAGUGCAAUUGAUACAGGUAGAAGGUAAUUGCACAAAAAUUAUUGGCAGUUGUGCUGAUGUAAACUGUCCAUACACAUGCAGAAGAAUAUAUGAAAAACAUGCUCGUGUUUUAGGAUCGUCAUGUGCAAUUUACAACUUAUGCACUUGUACUUUGGACAAAUCACCACCAAAUGAUACUCCAAAACAAUGCAGUAUUGGGCUGGGACUCUGCAAUAGUACCUGUAAUGAUGAUUGUUGCAACGCAGAGUGUGUGAAAAAAUAUAAUAGUCGGGGUAGUGGUGGGGCCUGCAUUAAGAUCGACGGUCAAAACUUUUGUUUAUGUCUCUAUAACUCUUGAAUUUAUUCUUAAUUGAAAUAGAUGCAAUAAACAUAUAUUUUCAAUUAUGUACCAACUAUUUUGUAUGAUUUCAGCAUCUGGAGUUUAUUCUUAAUUGAAA
Long non-coding RNA from Medicago truncatula (barrel medic), 522 nucleotides. RefSeq lists it as uncharacterized. The record is from RefSeq and is a predicted model, not a curated record. NCBI's taxonomy places the organism in Eukaryota, Viridiplantae, Streptophyta, Magnoliopsida, Fabales, Fabaceae. The transcript has 2 exons.